Molecule: ribosomal RNA, 496 nt
Filed under: uncultured bacterium
Lineage: Bacteria
Description: partial 16S ribosomal RNA
Rfam family: Bacterial small subunit ribosomal RNA
Source: RNAcentral
ACGCACGCUGGCGGCGUGCCUAAUACAUGCAAGUAGCACGCUGAAGGAAGGAGCUUGCUCUUUCUGGAUGAGUUGCGAACGGGUGAGUAACGCGUAGGUAACCUGCCUGGUAGCGGGGGAUAACUAUUGGAAACGAUAGCUAAUACCGCAUAAAAUUGAUUAUUGCAUGAUAGUCAAUUAAAAGGUGCAACUGCACCACUACCAGAUGGACCUGCGUUGUAUUAGCUAGUUGGUGGGGUAACGGCUCACCAAGGCGACGAUACAUAGCCGACCUGAGAGGGUGAUCGGCCACACUGGGACUGAGACACGGCCCAGACUCCUACGGGAGGCAGCAGUAGGGAAUCUUCGGCAAUGGACGGAAGUCUGACCGAGCAACGCCGCGUGAGUGAAGAAGGUUUUCGGAUCGUAAAGCUCUGUUGUAAGAGAAGAACGAGUGUGAGAGUGGAAAGUUCACACUGUGACGGUAUCUUACCAGAAAGGGACGGCUAACUACGUG